RNAcentral lists this ribosomal RNA (194 nucleotides) under Clostridioides difficile. RNAcentral's name for it is "partial 23S ribosomal RNA". It matches the Rfam family "Bacterial large subunit ribosomal RNA", at positions 1748 to 1914 of the family's 2925-position model. Lineage: Bacteria; Bacillati; Bacillota; Clostridia; Peptostreptococcales; Peptostreptococcaceae. The record is from RNAcentral.
GUGCCACCAUCAGGUGGCCGCAGAGAAUAGGCCCAAGCGACUGUUUACCAAAAACAUAGGUUUCUGCUAAGUCGCAAGACGAUGUAUAGGAGCUGACGCCUGCCCGGUGCUGGAAGGUUAAGGGGAUUAUUAUGAAAUGUCUGUAAAAAUAAAAUUUAAAUAAUAACUAGGAGGAGUAAUAUGUUUGAGAACUU